This 366-nucleotide ribosomal RNA is filed under the name uncultured Syndiniales. RNAcentral's name for it is "bacterial SSU rRNA". It matches the Rfam family "Eukaryotic small subunit ribosomal RNA", at positions 612 to 984 of the family's 1831-position model. Lineage: Eukaryota; Dinophyceae; Syndiniales. The record is from RNAcentral.
UCCGUUGGUUGCGGUUAAAGCUCGUAGUUGGAUUUCUGUUAGGGAUGGCCAGUCCGGUCUACGACUGUGUAUUUGGUUCAGCCUUGGCAUCCUCGUAAUCUUGCCGUCGUUAAUUCGGCGGUUGGGCUACGACUUUUACUUUGAGGAAAUUAGAGUGUUCACGGCAGGCGAUCGCCCUGAAUAUAUUAGCAUGGAAUAAUAACAUAGGACUUCGGUACUAUUUUGUUGGUUUCUAGCACUGGAGUAAUGAUUAAUAGGGAUAAUUGGGGGCAUUUGUAUCAUGGCGUCAGAGGUGGAAUUCUUGGAUUGCCAUGCGACAAACUACUGCGAAAGCAUUUGCCAAGGAUGUUUUCAUUGAUCAAGAAC